CCUAAAGCUUUCCCAUGUUUCCACUUCUCAGCAGCUGGCUGAUCCGUUGACCAAAGCAUUAUUUGGGACUGCUCUUUCUCCUAUAUUGUCCAAGUUAAAGGUGGUUUCCCCCCCUUCAACUUGAGGAGGGGUGUUGAGAUAUGUAAAUAGGCAAUGAUUGUACUACUCACAUGUAGACCAUUUUGGUCAUUGAAGGAAAGAGUCAUAUCUGAGCCUAAUAGGCUACUUCUACAAUUAGGCUAUUUUUGUAAUUUGUUUGUCUAUGUCUGUAAUUAGACUAGUUGUGUAAA
RNAcentral lists this long non-coding RNA (290 nucleotides) under Nicotiana benthamiana. RNAcentral's name for it is "long non-coding RNA (NBEN_LNC041119)". The record is from RNAcentral. Lineage: Eukaryota; Viridiplantae; Streptophyta; Magnoliopsida; Solanales; Solanaceae.